RNAcentral lists this ribosomal RNA (406 nucleotides) under uncultured bacterium. RNAcentral describes it as "partial 16S ribosomal RNA". It matches the Rfam family "Bacterial small subunit ribosomal RNA", at positions 30 to 526 of the family's 1533-position model. The record is from RNAcentral.
AUUGAACGCUGGCGGCAGGCCUAACACAUGCAAGUCGAACGAGUGGCGGACGGGUGAGUAAUGUGUGGGAAACUGCCUGAUGGAGGGGGAUAACCACUGGAAAAGGUAGCGAAUACCGCAUACUAUCAGAUGUGCCCAUAUGGGAUUAGCUUGUUGGUGGGGUAACGGCUCACCAAGGCGACGAUCCCUAGCGGGUCUGAGAGGAGGAACAGCCACAUUGGGACUGAGACACGGCCCAGACUCCUACGGGAGGCAGCAGUGGGGAAUAUUGCACAAUGGGCGCAAGCCUUAUGCAGCCAUGCCGCGUGUAUGAAGAAGGCCUUCGGUUUGUAAAGUACUUUCAGCGGUGAGGCGUUACCCGCAGAAGAAGCACCGGCUAACUCCGUGCCAGCAGCCGCGGUAAUUC